Molecule: ribosomal RNA, 443 nt
Filed under: uncultured bacterium
Lineage: Bacteria
Description: partial 16S ribosomal RNA
Rfam family: Bacterial small subunit ribosomal RNA
Source: RNAcentral
CCUACGGGAGGCAGCAGUGGGGAAUAUUGGGCAAUGGAGGAAACUCUGACCCAGCAACGCCGCGUGAAUGAUGAAGGUCUUCGGAUUGUAAAGUUCUUUUCUAAGGGAAGAAGACAGUGACGGUACCUUAGGAAUAAGCCUCGGCUAACUACGUGCCAGCAGCCGCGGUAAUACGGAGGAGGCGAGCGUUAUCCGGAAUGACGUGGCGUAAAGGGGGCGGAGGUGGUUUGGCAAGUUAGUAGCGUAACUCCAAGACUCAACCUUGGAACUACUACUAAAACUGUUGGACUUGAGUGCAGGAGGGGCAACCGGAAUUCUUAGUGUAGCGGUGGAAUGCGCAGAUAUUAGGAGGAACACCAGUGGCGAAGGCGGGUUGCUAGACUGUAACUGACACUGAGGCACGAAAGCGUGGGGAGCAAACAGGAUUAGAUACCCGGGUAGUC